GAUGGACACUGGCGGCGUGCCUAAUACAUGCAAGUCGAGCGAACAGACGAGGAGCUUGCUCCUCUGACGUUAGCGGCGGACGGGUGAGUAACACGUGGAUAACCUACCUAUAAGACUGGGAUAACUUCGGGAAACCGGAGCUAAUACCGGAUAAUAUAUUGAACCGCAUGGUUCAAUAGUGAAAGACGGUUUUGCUGUCACUUAUAGAUGGAUCCGCGCCGCAUUAGCUAGUUGGUAAGGUAACGGCUUACCAAGGCAACGAUGCGUAGCCGACCUGAGAGGGUGAUCGGCCACACUGGAACUGAGACACGGUCCAGACUCCUACGGGAGGCAGCAGUAGGGAAUCUUCCGCAAUGGGCGAAAGCUUGACGGAGCAACGCCGCGUGAGUGAUGAAGGUCUUCGGAUCGUAAAACUCUGUUAUUAGGGAAGAACAAAUGUGUAAGUAACUAUGCACGUCUUGACGGUACCUAAUCAGAAAGCCACGGCUAACUACGUG
RNAcentral lists this ribosomal RNA (497 nucleotides) under uncultured bacterium. RNAcentral's name for it is "partial 16S ribosomal RNA". It matches the Rfam family "Bacterial small subunit ribosomal RNA", at positions 28 to 507 of the family's 1533-position model. The record is from RNAcentral.